Molecule: unclassified non-coding RNA, 160 nt
Filed under: uncultured Ascomycota
Lineage: Eukaryota; Fungi; Ascomycota
Description: sequence contains ITS1
Source: RNAcentral
CAGUGUUCGCUGCCCCCAGGGGUAGCAAACCUCACCCUUGUGUAUCAUAUCUUUGUUGCUUCGGCACGCCGCUCCAGGGCACCGGCCUCGGCUGGCCAGCGCGUGUCAGAGGACUCCAAACUCUGAAUGUUAGUGUCGUCUGAGUACUAUCUAAUAGUUA